GCGGCGAGCGAACGGGGACCAGCCGAGCCCAAUAAGUGACCAGAAUGCGUUGGGAAGCGCAGCCAUAGCGGGUGACAGCCCCGUAUGGGAAGCUUUGAGGGACGUAUCAAGUAGGGCGGAACACGUGAAAUUCUGUCUGAAGAUCGGAGGACCACCUUCGAAGGCUAAGUACUCCUUACUGACCGAUAGCGAACCAGUACCGUGAGGGAAAGGUGAAAAGCACCCCGACGAGGGGAGUGAAACAGAUCCUGAAACCGGACGCCUACAAGCAGUCGGAGCCGCCUUGCGCGGUGACGGCGUACCUUUUGUAUAA
This 313-nucleotide ribosomal RNA is filed under the name Ostreococcus sp. 'lucimarinus'. Its description in RNAcentral is "partial Bacterial large subunit ribosomal RNA". It matches the Rfam family "Bacterial large subunit ribosomal RNA", at positions 246 to 615 of the family's 2925-position model. Lineage: Eukaryota; Viridiplantae; Chlorophyta; Mamiellophyceae; Mamiellales; Bathycoccaceae. The record is from RNAcentral.